GGAAGAUAGGAAGAGAAAGACUUAAGUGUAACAGUAAAAAUGAAGUUUGGACAAGUAAAACCACUUCCAAAAAGAAUGAGAUGUUUUCAGACUCAGUAAAAUUGAAGUCUUUGGUUGCCAUGCUCUAACUGCCAAAUGCCUGAGUUCCAUAGCUGAAGAGUGUCCAAAUCUGCAGACAUUGAACAUUGGCAGAGUCCCAG
RNAcentral lists this long non-coding RNA (200 nucleotides) under Crocodylus porosus (Australian saltwater crocodile). RNAcentral's name for it is "lncRNA (ENSCPRG00005006759.1)". The record is from RNAcentral. Lineage: Eukaryota; Metazoa; Chordata; Crocodylia; Crocodylidae.